UACGUAGGGUGCAAGCGUUGCCCGGAAUUAUUGGGCGUAAAGAGCUCGUAGGCGGUCUGUCACGUCGGCUGUGAAAACCUGGGGCUCAACUCCGGGCCUGCAGCCGAUACGGGCAGACUAGAGUUCGGCAGGGGAGACUGGAAUUCCUGGUGUAGCGGUGAAAUGCGCAGAUAUCAGGAGGAACACCGGUGGCGAAGGCGGGUCUCUGGGCCGAAACUGACGCUGAGGAGCGAAAGCGUGGGGAGCAAACAGG
This 253-nucleotide ribosomal RNA is filed under the name uncultured bacterium. RNAcentral's name for it is "partial 16S ribosomal RNA". It matches the Rfam family "Bacterial small subunit ribosomal RNA", at positions 524 to 776 of the family's 1533-position model. The record is from RNAcentral.